UCUUUGGCAUCCAUCACUAGACAGGCAGAAAAGGGAACUGAGCUUUUGUGAGCUGAGAAAAUGGGUCCUUCACUCCAGGGGAGACUGAAGUCUCUGGAAACUGAAUAUAGUGUUUCAGAUUCAUUGAUGUUUUCCAGAUUUUCAACUCUCCAGGCUGCUCCAACAAGCAGCAUUCUUCCCACUCCCUCCUUCCUCGCCCCGCCAAGUGCUAGUAGCAAAGCAAUGUGCUCAGUAAGGAUGCAGUUUGCAGCCUUCGUAACCUGUGAAGAAGAGGUGGACUUGUCAAGUUUUCAAAAUGCAGUAUACUGAAAAGGUCAGAGUAAAACAGUCUGACAGAACUUGUAAGUCAUUAUAAUUCUGGUAUCUCAUUUGUAAUGAGAAUGAGAACUGCAGCAAAUUAUUGUAAAAUAUGCUCUAAAAAACUGGGAAAACAUGAUAGUUAUAUUGAAACCAAAGUUUUCAUCACCUGCUAUAAUGACAAAUAGAUUCUGUGUGUUUCUUCACAAAUGUGCUCUGUAGCUCAGAGGGCUCUGAAAUAAAAAGAUUUGUGGCAAUUUCCAUGGUAACUAGUCAUUUUUUCCCCUAAUGGCAUAAAGAAAACAGACAUUACUGCAGGGGUGGGAGAAACUGAAGCUAACCAGAGGAUUUGGGGAUUAGUCUGUUUUGUUUUUUUAAGUUUAAAUUUUGGCAAAACUCUGGCAUUAAUCCCUGGCAUCUGAAAGUGCCACGAAACUGAGGGUGAGAGAUUCAUGGGAAACUUGGGCCUAUUAAAUUUUUGAAACAUAAUGAAAUACAAGUGUUUCACGCUGCUUAUAGAUAUUUCUGUGCUCACUACUGUUGCAUUAUGUUGUUAUACAUGUCCCACUAUCUCAUACUGCAUGUUUAUUUACUAGAGAGGUCCUUCUGCUAUCUGAGUUUGGAUGAUUAUCCAGUUAUAGAGGGAUUAGGGCUCAAGAAGGCCUGAAGGGCCCAAAGAAAGAAACCUCAGUCAAGAGGUUGCAACAUUCUCAGUUUGGUGUUCCAGUCAGCAGGAGAGAGACUAAAUCACUGGGAAUCCAACUAAAAGAAUCAGAAGAAGAAUGACCACCUGGAGAUACAUUUGUUCAGCAUAGGAAAACCCUGAAGAAUUUAGAAUCAUCAUGUGAGAGAGGGUUCUGAACUCAAAUGGCAUAAUCCCUCAAGGGGCGUGCAUAUGUCUAUGAAGACUAGAACCCAUCUAAACCAAAAAGGGUUACUGGGGCCAAUACUUAUAAUUUGGUUAAUUUCAUAAUCAUAUCUACUGUUAUUUAAUGUUGCUUAGUCUAACUCCUUUAUAUUCUCACUAACCUAUACAUUUUACCCUACUCUGCCAAACUGAAGCCUUGUAC
Long non-coding RNA from Chrysemys picta bellii (western painted turtle), 1367 nucleotides. RefSeq lists it as uncharacterized. The record is from RefSeq and is a predicted model, not a curated record. Lineage: Eukaryota; Metazoa; Chordata; Testudines; Emydidae.